This 478-nucleotide ribosomal RNA is filed under the name uncultured bacterium. RNAcentral's name for it is "bacterial SSU rRNA". It matches the Rfam family "Bacterial small subunit ribosomal RNA", at positions 28 to 506 of the family's 1533-position model. The record is from RNAcentral.
GAUGAACGCUAGCGGCAGGCUUAACACAUGCAAGUCGAGGGGCAACACGGGUAGCAAUACCUGGUGGCGACCGGCGCAAGGGUGCGUAACGCGUGAGCAACAUGCCCUAUACAGGGGGAUAAUCCAGGGAAACUUGGUCUAAUAUCCCAUAGUAUUUAGAGGUGGCAUCACCACUAAAUUAAAGCUUCGGUGGUAUAGGAUUGGCUCGCGUGACAUUAGCUUGAUGGUGGGGUAACGGCUCACCAUGGCGAUGAUGUCUAGGGGUUCUGAGAGGAAGACCCCCCAACUGGGACUGAGACACGGCCCAGACUCCUACGGGAGCAGCAGUGAGGAAUAUUGGACAAUGGAUGGAAAUCUGAUCCAGCCAUGCCGCGUGCAGGAAGACGGCCCUAAUGGGUUUAAACUGCUUUUAAUGGGACAAUAAGGUUUACCGUAGACCGAUGAGAGUACCAUAUGAAUAAGCAUCGGCUAACUCCGU